AGUGAACGCUGGCGGUAGGCCUAACACAUGCAAGUCGAACGGCAGCACAGUAAGAGCUUGCUCUUACGGGUGGCGAGUGGCGGACGGGUGAGGAAUACAUCGGAAUCUACUUUUUCGUGGGGGAUAACGUAGGGAAACUUACGCUAAUACCGCAUACGACCUACGGGUGAAAGCAGGGGAUCUUCGGACCUUGCGCGAUUGAAUGAGCCGAUGUCGGAUUAGCUAGUUGGCGGGGUAAAGGCCCACCAAGGCGACGAUCCGUAGCUGGUCUGAGAGGAUGGUACGCCACACUGGAACUGAGACACGGGCCAGACCCCGACGGGGGGCAGAGGGGGGGAAUUUUGGCAAAGGGGGGAAAGCCUGAUCCAGCCAUACCGGGGGGGUGAAGAAGGCCUUCGGGUUGUAAAGCCCUUUUUUUGGGAAAAAAAAGCAGCAGGUUAAUACCCCGCUGUUCUGACGGGACCAAAAGAAAAAGCACCGGCUAACUUCGG
RNAcentral lists this ribosomal RNA (491 nucleotides) under uncultured bacterium. RNAcentral's name for it is "partial 16S ribosomal RNA". It matches the Rfam family "Bacterial small subunit ribosomal RNA", at positions 29 to 506 of the family's 1533-position model. The record is from RNAcentral.